AGGCAAAAACACAGGGGUAGAAAAUGCAGAUGUGACUGAGGAGUGUUACUGCAGAAGGGAACACGAUAUUUGGGCAGGCUGUGGAGCUGUUCUAUUGUGCAAUUAUGAAGCAGUUAAUUGAAUAGAAACCAGCCCGGAAAAACAGGAAAGAAAGAACGGGCUGUCUGGAGGUAAUUCACCGUUCAGCAAGCACGGGGGAUUGUUGCUGGACGUGCCAAAGCUGCCAUCUUUGACUUUCAGCUCCCUAGCAAUUGGCCUAGAAGCCUGCCUUGAAACAAGGCAGGAGGGAGGGCAGUCUAUGAAUGGCCUUAGAGAAGGGAGAUGAGGAAAGUUAGCUGUGCUCGUUUCUUUCCAGACACAUUUUUUUGGGGGGAGGUGGUGAGGGAGUGAGAGGAAAAGCAAGUAGAAAUUUUCUACAAUAGAGAUUUUCUCUACAAUACAAAUUUUCUCCACAGUAGAGAUUUUCCUCUAGGCAAUUUUGAAGAUCCUGGGUCUUCUGGUGAAUAUUCCUCUGUAGAUGCCAUAGUUUUACAUGUUGAGAAAGAAUUUUGUUUCCAAAGAGCUAAAUAAUCCAUGUGGAGCACUGGCCACAGACACUUGAGCAGCCCUCUGCAGCCUGUAGCAUCAUUGCAGGUGCAGAGACUUACAGCCCCACUUUCACCUCCAGAGCAGAGCCCCUCUAGCUUAGGAAAGCUCAGGACCAUGAAGUCUGAUGCCUAAGACACCGUGUUGCCAGUUUUAGCAGGGAAGAUAAGCUCUGCCACAAGAACUGCAGCACAGUUACUUUCUUCUCUGACUUUGCUGUGAUGCACCCACCUGAUAUCUCCCACUAAGGGAUGCUUCUCCUUUUGCUCAGCCAGCAACUCCAGGAGAUAAUUUCCUACACGUGUGGCAUUCCCUUGGAGAUCUUCUUUCUCUAUUACAUCCAGCACAGCCAAGCCAAUGGCACAAGACACUGGAUUGCCUCCAAACUGAAAGCAAACACAAAACAAAACAUGUCAUCAAAAUCAAAACCUAUCAAAACAAAACAUUUACCUGGGGCUAUCCGCAUCGUUUUCACUUGCCCUCUCCUGCUUGGCAUGUCAUAAGGAAAGCUCAGAGAGGUGGGGAUUUUGUGGCAUUGAGGCUGUGAAACACCAUCCCCUUCAUUUGGGCAAGGGAAGGGCUCCCUCUUCCUCUGCUCCAGGUUACAGUAAUUUGAAGAUCUCAGGACUGAAGAAUUCAGCUGAUUUCACGUGCAGGCAAAAUGCUCCUGGGAAGAGCAGUGGUUGAUAGAUUUGAUACAUUUGAUAUAUUUUGAUCCAGAGAGUAUAAACUCCAUUUAAAACAGGGAAUUCAGCUGGGAAGAAGCCUGAGUCUAAGGAUCAGAAAGCAGGCUCAGUAAACGAGAAGACUGAACUUCUGUGGCAUGCAUGCAGAUGAAAUAUUUUCCGGUAAAGGGUCCCUGUUUUGUUAAGUGUGAGUUGUAGAGCAAGGUCUGCCAUGUCAUGAGCUCCACCAGCACAGAGCCUAUCCUAGAAAAUGGAAUUUUACAUAUUCAACAUUCCAGAGUAGGGAGAGGGAAAGAGACAUAAGGAAGAAUUUUUCUGUAUGGAUAUGAGCUGAGAUGCAUGACCUGCCCAAAGCUAGUUCUGGUCUAUGUGAUGAUGUAACACUUGAUACAGAGCACAUUCCAAAGCCUCUCCACUUGCUUUUAGAUACUAGACUGUGGUUGGCUCAAGCUACUGGUAAUGUAAUGCAGUGAUUGCUGCAGAUGUUAUCUGGAUCCCCUGGAGAACUUCUAACUGGAAAACGCAGACCAAAACAAAAAUAAAAAAGGCAAAGCUUCACCUAUGAACUUACUGUAUUGAAAUACUCCAGUCCAGAAGCACCAAAACCUUCAGCAAUUUCCCUUGUUGUGACCACACAAGACAUAGGGUGUCCAUUGCCAAUGGGCUUUCCCAUGGUGACGAUGUCGGGCACAAAGUCUUCACCUUGCAGCUGGAAUGCCCAAAAAUGCUUCCCAACUCUGCCAAAGCCAACCUGGACCUCAUCAGCUAUGAACACUCCACCUGCUGCACGCACAUACCUGAAAAGAAUCACAAUACCUUGAAAGUCUAGUGCUGCAGAACACGAGUAGGCAAUCAAGGACAAGACAGUCUGCAUCACAGAAAUUCUGCAGUGUGAGACCAAGUUAGGAAAAAAAGAAAGAAUACAGUUAUAGCUAUUUUAUAGCUAUGAAAUUUUUAGUAUGCUACAUGUUAAGGAAAAAAAAAAUGACAUUUUAAUGUCAAAUAGGAGUACUGUAAUGGUACUGUAGGAUUAUAACUGGUUUAACUUCAUCUUCCAUCAAAUUUAUGGCUGAGGAUUAAAGAUAGGAAAAGAAUAGCAAUUAUCUAGCUAAAAAUUAGCCAAUAUUCCAUUAAAAAAAUUGAACUGAAAUCAUACUCUCCAAUAAGCAGAAAUGAACCACAGAUAGCCAAGAACAGGAGAGGUUAAUGGCUGAAUUGAUUAGAUAAGUCUAUAGUGAAAAAAGCUAUUUCUUUGUUUAAUUUCCCCCUUACACCCCUCUGAAGUGCUGUACGUACUCUGCCACUUUCUGGAAAUAGCCCACAGGUGGAAUUACUUGGCCUCCACAGCUCUGCAUGGAUUCAGCUAUGAAGGCAGCAAUCUACAAGAGACAAACUCGUGUGAGAGCUGUGUUCAUCUACUUGGCCUUGGCAGA
Haemorhous mexicanus (house finch) is the source of this 2704-nucleotide long non-coding RNA. RefSeq lists it as uncharacterized. The record is from RefSeq and is a predicted model, not a curated record. The transcript has 2 exons. NCBI's taxonomy places the organism in Eukaryota, Metazoa, Chordata, Aves, Passeriformes, Fringillidae.